UGGAGCAUGUGGUUUAAUUCGACGCAACGCGAAGAACCUUACCAGGGCUUGACAUCCCCUGACCGCGUAUGAAAGUACGUUUUCACCCUCGGGUGACAGGGAGACAGGUGGUGCAUGGUUGUCGUCAGCUCGUGUCGUGAGAUGUUGGGUUAAGUCCCGCAACGAGCGCAACCCCUACGUUUAGUUGCUAACGCGUGAAGGCGAGCACUCUAGACGAACUGCCGUUGACAAAACGGAGGAAGGUGGGGAUGACGUCAAAUCAUCAUGCCCCUUAUGUUCUGGGCUACACACGUGCUACAAUGGCCGGUACAGACGGACGCAAAGCCGCGAGGCGGAGCAAAUCCGAAAAAGCCGGUCUCAGUUCGGAUUGCAGGCUGCAAUUCGCCUGCAUGAAGUCGGAAUCGCUAGUAAUCGCAGGUCAGCAUACUGCGGUGAAUACGUUCCCGGGCCUUGU
This 454-nucleotide ribosomal RNA is filed under the name uncultured Pelotomaculum sp. RNAcentral describes it as "bacterial SSU rRNA". It matches the Rfam family "Bacterial small subunit ribosomal RNA", at positions 933 to 1384 of the family's 1533-position model. Lineage: Bacteria; Bacillati; Bacillota; Clostridia; Eubacteriales; Desulfotomaculaceae. The record is from RNAcentral.